UGAAGUAAAACCAAUUUAUGGUGCCAACAAAAGCUUCAUCAAUGAAGGGCAACUACAACUCGUAGAAAGCUUCACACACUCUUGAUCAAGACUGUUCGAAGUAAAUUCAAUUUAUAUGGUUCAUCCAAACCUUCGACUACUACAAGGUAUGGCUUGCAUCACAAUCUCUUGCUCAACAGUGUGGAAGCAAAAUUUGUAUAUGUUAUCUCUCCCACAUUUUCAAAUUUCUAGUUUCCCAAAAAAAAAAAAGGAAAUUCAACAAAGCUUCAUCAAUGGAGGACAACUACAAAUUCUCAAAAGCUUCACACUAUCUUAAUCAAGAU
This 323-nucleotide long non-coding RNA is filed under the name Malus domestica (apple). Its description in RNAcentral is "long non-coding RNA (MDOM_LNC002596)". Lineage: Eukaryota; Viridiplantae; Streptophyta; Magnoliopsida; Rosales; Rosaceae. The record is from RNAcentral.